AUCAUGUCUGGAACAUAAUGGAACAUAUAAGAAAUGUCGACAUAAGAUGAUUUUGCAAGGUAGCACUUGAAUUUAUGAAUAUAAAUGAGGAUCAGGAGCCCACGUCUAUACUAGAGUGCACUCAAAGACUUGAUUGAUUAAAUGGUACAAGACCAUAAAACGUGGAGCUAAGAAUCAUUAAGAGAAGGAAUGAGUUUGGUCCGACCUUAAGGACACCAUUCGAUGUAAAAACCAGUAGGACACAAAUGGGUCUUUG
Molecule: long non-coding RNA, 256 nt
Filed under: Arabidopsis lyrata
Lineage: Eukaryota; Viridiplantae; Streptophyta; Magnoliopsida; Brassicales; Brassicaceae
Description: long non-coding RNA (ALYR_LNC002710)
Source: RNAcentral